UGGGGAAUAUUGGACAAUGGGCGAAAGCCUGAUCCAGCCAUGCCGCGUGUGUGAAGAAGGUCUUCGGAUUGUAAAGCACUUUAAGUUGGGAGGAAGGGCAGUUACCUAAUACGUAUCUGUUUUGACGUUACCGACAGAAUAAGCACCGGCUAACUCUGUGCCAGCAGCCGCGGUAAUACAGAGGGUGCAAGCGUUAAUCGGAAUUACUGGGCGUAAAGCGCGCGUAGGUGGUUUGUUAAGUUGGAUGUGAAAUCCCCGGGCUCAACCUGGGAACUGCAUUCAAAACUGACAAGCUAGAGUAUGGUAGAGGGUGGUGGAAUUUCCUGUGUAGCGGUGAAAUGCGUAGAUAUAGGAAGGAACGCCAGUGGCGAAGGCGACCACCUGGACUGAUACUGACACUGAGGUGCGAAAGCGUGGGGAGCAAACAGGAUUAGAUACCCAUGUAGUCCCUGAGCGGGCUGGCAAGGCGCAU
This 472-nucleotide ribosomal RNA is filed under the name uncultured bacterium. RNAcentral's name for it is "bacterial SSU rRNA". It matches the Rfam family "Bacterial small subunit ribosomal RNA", at positions 355 to 825 of the family's 1533-position model. The record is from RNAcentral.